Hyposmocoma kahamanoa is the source of this 552-nucleotide long non-coding RNA. RefSeq lists it as uncharacterized. Lineage: Eukaryota; Metazoa; Arthropoda; Insecta; Lepidoptera; Cosmopterigidae. The record is from RefSeq and is a predicted model, not a curated record. The transcript has 3 exons.
CGGUAAUUCUACAGAGUACUUAUAAACACAUUUUGAUAUCCUAAUUAACGACACCCCCACUAUAUCAAAAUAUCUAGAUUAAUUACAAAUUAAACUACUAAGGCACUAGUCCUAACAUGAGCAGAAAUCUACAAUGCUUAGUCACAUUUAGACUCUUAGUCAGCAGAUCCGCAGGCAUAUCUGCUGUAGUCGAUGGUGCAAUCAUACCUGGAGCUGUCCGUCAACGGUGAAUCUCAGUGUACCGCGUGUGAGGUCGAGCAGCACCCCGACGGUGGCGCCGCGCGCGAUGCCGCCCGCCGCGCGGCCGCCGUGCGCGCCGCCGUGCACGAACCACGACCGCGACGCGUCGAUGUACAUCGCCCAGCCAAGUGCGUCGCUGCCUCAGGAUCAGCAUCACCAUCAUAGUCAUCAAUGCGCAGGCGCCAGUAGUGGCAGCCGCGCGCCAAGGGCUGGUCGGCCAAUGCCACCCGCGGCUGCCAGCCUCCAGCGCGAGCUGUUAAGCCCGCUGCGUCUAACGAUAAUGCACCCUCGCCUAUUGCGCAGCGAGUGUCC